This 712-nucleotide ribosomal RNA is filed under the name Pseudomonas costantinii. RNAcentral describes it as "bacterial SSU rRNA". It matches the Rfam family "Bacterial small subunit ribosomal RNA", at positions 22 to 729 of the family's 1533-position model. Lineage: Bacteria; Pseudomonadati; Pseudomonadota; Gammaproteobacteria; Pseudomonadales; Pseudomonadaceae. The record is from RNAcentral.
GCUCAGAUUGAACGCUGGCGGCAGGCCUAACACAUGCAAGUCGAGCGGUAGAGAGAAGCUUGCUUCUCUUGAGAGCGGCGGACGGGUGAGUAAUGCCUAGGAAUCUGCCUGGUAGUGGGGGAUAACGUUCGGAAACGGACGCUAAUACCGCAUACGUCCUACGGGAGAAAGCAGGGGACCUUCGGGCCUUGCGCUAUCAGAUGAGCCUAGGUCGGAUUAGCUAGUUGGUGGGGUAAUGGCUCACCAAGGCGACGAUCCGUAACUGGUCUGAGAGGAUGAUCAGUCACACUGGAACUGAGACACGGUCCAGACUCCUACGGGAGGCAGCAGUGGGGAAUAUUGGACAAUGGGCGAAAGCCUGAUCCAGCCAUGCCGCGUGUGUGAAGAAGGUCUUCGGAUUGUAAAGCACUUUAAGUUGGGAGGAAGGGCAGUUACCUAAUACGUGAUUGUUUUGACGUUACCGACAGAAUAAGCACCGGCUAACUCUGUGCCAGCAGCCGCGGUAAUACAGAGGGUGCAAGCGUUAAUCGGAAUUACUGGGCGUAAAGCGCGCGUAGGUGGUUUGUUAAGUUGGAUGUGAAAUCCCCGGGCUCAACCUGGGAACUGCAUUCAAAACUGACUGACUAGAGUAUGGUAGAGGGUGGUGGAAUUUCCUGUGUAGCGGUGAAAUGCGUAGAUAUAGGAAGGAACACCAGUGGCGAAGGCGACCACC